UGUUUAUAAAUAAAUAAAAAUUAAUAAAAAAGUUACAUGAGAAAUUAGAUCCCAGCCUUUCUGAACUGGCUGACCUUGGUCAAGUUACAUAACCCCGAGAUUCAUGACCUUUUCAGGUAACCUGAUGAAUGAAAUGAUCCUUCACCCGAGAAAAAAAUGCAUACAUAUGACAGAUUUUGCAUGUUUACUUCAGGAUCCCAACUGCACACCUCUAAAGUUUAGAUCUUUCAUCUGUGGAAGGAGAUGGCCGUGCACAUCUUGGAGGUCUGUCUCAUUAAUUCUCCUGUGGCAGUUAAGUGAGAGAAUGUACGUUAGCAUGACACCUGGCACAUUCUUUCUGAACCGUGAACCUUGGUCUCUCUCCUUCCAUUUCUUUCCCUCUUUGGUUCUCUCUCUUCCAGGCACUGUGCCUUGACCUACAGUACAUUUGCCAAGGGAGAAAAGUUAGUCUCAGUUCACUUUUGGAUCAUUUGUUAGGACAGAGCCCUGCCAGAUUUUCAUUUUAUCUGUCCACAAUGAUUUCUUUGUUCCUUUUUUUCCCCUCUCGCCACUUUGGGCUUCUCAUGGCCGGAAGCAUCGCAUUAUCUUUCUGGUCUGAAGUUUCAGUACACCCGUUUCCUUCCUGUGGGAGGGGUCUCAUGUUGGUUGUGCUUGGGGAAGCCCUGGGUCUGCCUCUCCCACUCAUGGCCGCCCUGGGGUUUUGCAGAAUCUUCAAGGUGGCAUUUCCUCUAUCCUUGAGGGCAAGGGAAGCCGCACUCCAGCUUUCAGGCUUCAAACAAGCAUGUCCUUGGCCCACAGCCACACAGCUCCACAGAGGGCCUUUCCGGCACGUAUCAGGGCCUUCAUCAGUGGUGGAUUUGGGAAGAGCCAGCCCUGAUGGUGGAAGACUUUGUUGUGGGUCGGAGGUAACCCUGAUCACAGUGGUCACCUGCCUCCUUGGCCAGUCAGAGGCAGUGAGAGGCCCCUUCCAUCUCAGCAUCGAAAAGCCUGCCUCUCUCGCUGUUCCUUGUACCCCAUCCUGUAGACUCUGGGUCUUGGCUCCUGCCCUCGGCACAUUGGGUGGGGGCAAGGCCUGAGGUCAUUUUUAACACUCAUUAGAGAGCAGUCAAUGCAGCAGUGCUCACAAAGGUUUGUCACAGCCCAGGUGGCUGACAUGACCCGGAAUGGAGCCACCUUCAAGGGGAAGGCUUAUCUGAAGCACCCAUGGCCUAACUCAGGACCUAGUGUGCUUGUUUGUGAGGUGAGCACCCACCUGGAUUACAGCGAUAGGACCUCAGUGAGAUUCUGCCACAAAUGCCUUCUUCCCCUUGGCCUCUUCGCCUUUUGGCCUGCCUGGUCCAUGGCCCGGUCCUCGGUCUUGUCAUUCGAUUCCAGCCCUGCUUGGAUACAGGUAGUCACCUGAGAAUACCUGGUGGUAGGAGGCCUUCAAGUCAUGGGUUCAUUUUGAGAAUGUAAAAACUUUUAGGUUCUUAUGCUAAUGUUCCAUUUGCUAUUUAAUAUAGUUGAUUAAGGUCGUUCAGCCGGCUUUCACUGGCCUGAGGGUAGGAAAGAAUGCAGAAUCCACUUUUUAAAAUAAUCUGAUAGGCAGGCAGAUGUUGGCCUCACCUGAUGCCUGCUCAGACUCUCCCAGCUGGGAAUACACUGACCGCCCCCCGCCCCCCACCAUCGUCAUUCACAUCCACCAUGAUUCCGGAGACUGUCAUUCUUCAGGGAGCAUCAUCACGGCCCACAAACUGAACACCACUUCCCCUGGGUCCCCGUAGGCUCCAUCUUCAAACUCUAGCUGGAUGUUUCCAAAUAGCUUGCUGCCGUGUGGAUGAUUGAUGGCUUUCAUUCUUGGUAUGGAUGCUGACUUAGGCCACAGGUGUUGGAACUGGGGUUUGGUAGCCCUAAUGUGCACCGUCAGUGUGACUUAGGAGCAAUUGUUGGCCAAGAAGAGAGGGUCAAGGGAACACGGGCCACCUGAGAGGUAAAUGCCUUGCUACCCACACGAUUCGGCACUUCAUUCACAAGUUUAUAGGAAGCUUUCAAAGUUUUAAGUACGUGCCUUUUGAUACGUGACAACCCAUUUCCAAGAUCUAAUGUUUAAACUAUUGGAGUGGCACAGGAAUACUUUGCAUCUUCCUAAGACAGGGGGUAAGCACACCUUCACAACUGCUUACAAGUACGCUGCAUACAAAUACAAUAGGAAUUUGAGUUGCUACUAAAUAAUGAUGUGGUUGUGUCUGUACAUAUGCCUGUAUAUUUUUUAGUGUGUAUUUAAUGCAGCUUCCUCUGUGCCAGGCAUCUUCAGAGCCAUGCAGAUGUGGUGGUGAGCAUGGGGUGACAGACUGAGGGCCUCGCUGGUGCAAGGACCCUGGGGCGGGAGGAAGGCCGGUGUAGCUGGCAUGUCCUGGGGAAGAGGAGGCAGGUAGCACAGUUCACUAGACCUAUCUCUGUCAGCAGGCCCAGGGUUGGGGGUUUGGAUGCUCUGAGAGGAGGAGUGGCCUGACAUGGUUGGAUUCACCUGUGGGAAGCACACUUUACACCUUGUCCACGUAGAGGUUUCUCUCUCAGGAAGUGAAGACACAGAAACUGAGUCAGAAAAUAGUUCCCUCUAUUCCUGUGUGAGAUCUUUAAAUCAUAAAGGACUUUCACAUUCCUGUAUCUUUUGCAUCUUGGUGAUUUCACUUUUUCAGAGAGAAUUUUCUUCCAGUCCUGGACUCUGGUUUGCAGCAAACAUCUGGAGCUGCCAUAGGCCUGGAUUGUCCUCCUGCUCUCCUGGGACUGAAAUUCCUGAGGGUGUAAGGGAUUCACUGGUGUAGGGAAACGUAUGUGUGAGUGGGGAAAGUUCUCUCUUUUUACAGAUUUUGAGGACUGGUCUGAGAUCCAGGGAACGACCUGUUCUUGCAUCGGGGGCCUCAGGGAUGCCCAUGUGGCAGUGCUUGAGCUCACCAAGAUUAGGGUGUCCGCCCUCAUCCUGGGGAUUCGGUUUACUCUGUGCCGUUACUUAUGUGAGAGUUUCCAUGAAAUGCUUAGCGGAAAGAUCUAGAGCCCCUUUAUCUUGGCUGAUGUUAUUCUUUAUAGAGAGACUUAAAUAUACAGAAGGGGGGGUGUGCUGUAUGACACCUGCAACAAGACAGCCCUGUGGCUGCAGGGCAUCUUAGGUACCAGGGUGCUUCCAGAAGAGCAGUGUAGACAUACAGAGCGAAGAGUGUCCCACGUCUGCCAGCUGGACAGCUGGUGGGUUGGCAGAAGGGAAGGUACGAGAGAAAGGCAGAAGCGGACUAGUUGCCAUAGGCCAGGGAGAACAACAAGGUGAAGAAAAGUGGAGAAAGUAGUGUUUGUAACUUGGGGGAACUCUGAGAGCCCGUAAAGCCAAUUUCAUGCAAAAAAUAAAAUUCAUGAUCUUUAGACAUUAGACAAGGGGUGAACUUUUGAGAGGCGGUAGGGGAACAGCCAGGCUCGUGUAAAGAUCUGGAGAGAAAGGGUGGUUGAGGGUUCAGCCAAAUCCUUGCCCUGCAUUUUGAAAGAAAAUUCUCUCUGAAAAAGUGAAAGGGAGGGAGGAACACGGGGUAGCAGCUCCAAAGGUGAUCCAGGAAUUUGUAAAUUAUGAAGGAGGCAGAGAGACAGAUAUUUGUUAAAUGAUGAAGCGAAAAGUGUACUUUGCAAGUUUUUUUUUUUUUAAUAGCUGAUAAACAUGUGGAUCAGCAGCUUCCCAUGGGAAAAUGGAGACAUUCAAAAUGAUUCCUGAUGGAACAGGAAAGGGGUGUCUGUGCACUAUGCUGCACCCGCUCCUUCAGGGGCGACCCACUAGAACGGGCUCCAUGCUUUCCUUCCUGCUCUAAACAGAAAGGAGUUUUCCUGGAUGGGGGAAUCUGAAUGUAUUGAAAACAGUGGGCAACGAGAGCAGUGUUCUGUAUUUGAGCUUGACCCCCUGGGAGGGAGGAUCUGGUCCAGAGAGAAGGCAGUGCAGGGCUGCAGCUGCCGGGGAGUGUUGCCUCCCAGCCACGCAUGGGGCCACAGACAUCCAUCACCCCAAGAGGCACCCAGGUAGGAACUCUCCACCCCUUCAGAGACACCCAAGUCAUGGCCUUUAAAACAAGCUCUUCUUGGAGGUGAGUUAGUUGAGCGUCUCAUUUUUGAUUUCAGCUCAGUUCAUGAUCCCAGGGUUGUGGGAUCAAGUCCCACAUUGGGCUCUGUGCAGAGCGUAGAACCUGCAUGAGGAGUCUCUCUCUCUCUCUCUCUCUCUCCCUCCCUCCCUCCCUCUCCCUCUCUCCCUCUCCCUCCCUCCCUCUGACCCUCUCCCUGCUUGCACUCUCUCCCUAAAAAAAAGAAGAAAAAAAAAAAAAGAAAACAAGCCCCUCUUCUCCCUGUUUUUGUUUAUCACCUAUUUCUGGAAACCGGCCUUGGGAUCUCAUGGCCCGGCAGCACAGCUGCUUUGGAAAACGUUGUUGGAGUAGGCUCCUCCCUAAACAGACUCCCCUGGCUUCGAGAAUAUGAACUGAACUGGGGUCGGCCAGACAGGUGUAUCCUUAUGUUCAUAACCAGAAGUGGCUACAACCAAACUGUUACAUUUUGUCUAACUUGUGCCCUGCUGGGCAACUCUGUAGACCAUGGAAUGCUGUUGGCAAAACUCGUUGCCGCCCAGAACUCUGCCUAAAGUUGAGCUUGAGCCUUUGUUUUUUUCUGUUGUAACUUGGAGGAAUUUAAAGCUGUAUUCUAAGUUCCCGGAUGUCUUUUUUCUCCCUCUAUGUCUAUGUCAGGCAGAAAUAAGUAAGGUCUUGUGUAUGAACCAACAGAUUUCCAGAGAUUUUGACCAUAGGGAAGCUGGGGAGAAAGCUGAGGGGCAAUGACAAGUAGGAUUUUGUGCCUUGCCUCCCUUUGGCCUCACUGAGACGAUCAUGGUUGUUGCAGAAACCCACACCCACGGACAGCCCUUUGACCCAUUUCCACCCACAUAGAAGGGAAUCCAGAGAACUUUCCUGCCUUCUGGACGUGAAGAGAACAGCUGAGUUGAAAUGCCCUUCUGUGGAUUGCUGAAAAAAAGGAAAACAGCUGAAAGAUGGAAGUUCUGUUCCCUUUUUGGAAACAUGCAGUUGUGUUGCCUCGUUGGAGAAGCCCAGUCGACGCGGGGAGGGCUUGCAGACACAGGCGGAAGCCAGCGGGGAGAGGAUGCGGAGGUGGCCCGGGGAAGCCCCUGCAGUGGCCAGCCUGGCCCGCCUGCCAGCUCGGUGGACACAGGAGCCGAGUGUGAGAAGCAGGCAGAAGCUGAGGCCGAGCCGGGCACGGCUUUCUAGAUUAGCUCUCUGCAGCUUCCCUGUUUGGAUUGGCCCGAAGCUGGCACAGGAGGCCCAGCCAGCUUUCCGAGGGGAAGCCGGUCUGCCAGCCAGGCGGGGACGGUGCCUCCCGGCGCCUCUGCCCUCCUACCUUGCCCAGGUUGCGGCAGCUCGUGCAUAAAUGGGGCAGCGCGUCCACGUCUCUCCUUCCCUCUGCACAAAUUGGAAAUGACUAACCUUGCCAUAUUUAGUGCAGCGCUAACGGCCACUCGCCUCUGAGGGGUAAUCAUGCAGGCAUAAAUUCGGAAAGUUGCUAAGCUAUGAGCAGUCUUAUGAGCAUUAAAAGUGUCCUCUUUGCCAGAAAGGUCAUUCAUAACUUGGCUACCCUGCUGAUGUACAGUCAGUGAUAUUGAUUGAUUAAUGUAUGAAAGCACUGGAUCCAUUUGCUUCUAUGAAAGAGAAUAAAGUGCAGUCGACUCUCUCUUUAUUUUCACCUCAUCCUUUUGUUUGAAGGACAUUUUUCCCCUUCUUUUUGUUUUGCCGGCUAGGUUUAAGGGGGUUACAAAAAGCCAGUUUCUGCCAAGUAAUGUGUUCACAAAGAGAACAUUGAUUCACAUCAGUGUCGCUUGAAUUACCCUUAAAGGUUUGCCAAGGAGUUGCUCUUAUAUUAACCUUCUGUUCGUGGAGGAAGAAAUAAAUAAAUAAGUCAUAAAGUCAAA
Molecule: long non-coding RNA, 5977 nt
Organism: Leopardus geoffroyi (Geoffroy's cat)
Lineage: Eukaryota; Metazoa; Chordata; Mammalia; Carnivora; Felidae
Exons: 2
Source: RefSeq, a predicted model, not a curated record